GGCGAACCGUGCGAACGUUAUUCGGAAUCACUGGGCUUAAAGCGCGUGUAGGCGGGCCGCCACGUCGGGCGCUGAAAUCCCCCGGCUCAACCGGGGAACGGGCACCGAUACGAGCGGCCUGGAGGGGAGUAGGGGGACCUGGAACUUCCGGUGGAGCGGUGAAAUGCGUUGAGAUCGGAAGGAACGCCCGUGGCGAAAGCGAGGUCCUGGGCUCCUGCUGACGCUGAGACGCGAAAGCCAGGGGAGCGAACGGG
Molecule: ribosomal RNA, 254 nt
Filed under: uncultured bacterium
Lineage: Bacteria
Description: partial 16S ribosomal RNA
Rfam family: Bacterial small subunit ribosomal RNA
Source: RNAcentral